RNAcentral lists this ribosomal RNA (253 nucleotides) under uncultured bacterium. Its description in RNAcentral is "partial 16S ribosomal RNA". It matches the Rfam family "Bacterial small subunit ribosomal RNA", at positions 524 to 776 of the family's 1533-position model. The record is from RNAcentral.
UACGUAGGGUGCGAGCGUUACCCGGAAUUAUUGGGCGUAAAGAGCUCGUAGGCGGUCUGUCGCGUCUGCUGUGAAAACUGGGGGCUCAACCCCCAGCCUGCAGUGGGUACGGGCAGACUAGAGUGCGGUAGGGGAGAUUGGGAUUCCUGGUGUAGCGGUGGAGUGCGCAGAUAUCAGGAGGAACACCGAUGGCGAAGGCAGAUCUCUGGGCCGUAACUGACGCUGAGGAGCGAAAGCAUGGGGAGCGAACAGG